GUGCUUGCUUCGGCAGCACAUAUACUAAAAUUGGAACGAUACUGAGAUUAGCAUGGCCCCUGCGCAAGGAUGACACUUUCCAUAUUUAAAAAAAAAAAAUCAUA
This is a small nuclear RNA of Ochotona princeps (American pika), 104 nucleotides long. The record is from RefSeq and is a predicted model, not a curated record. NCBI's taxonomy places the organism in Eukaryota, Metazoa, Chordata, Mammalia, Lagomorpha, Ochotonidae.